AGACGGUGGAUCUUUGCCGCACGCCGCGACGGAGAAGCUGCAGAAUACCGGUGGCGGAGGCGUGCCCGUCGGCGCCGAGGAAGAAGCCGGUUUGCUUGAAGCGGAAGGCUCCGCCGAAGGACGGCUACUUUCGGCCGCCGGAUUUGGAGGUUUUGUUUGGUUUUGUUGCUCCAAGAGAUCAAGAGGCUUGUAGUUGAGGCUUUUUCUUUUGCUUUUCUUAUGUAUAUGUAUAUAAGUUUGAG
RNAcentral lists this unclassified non-coding RNA (242 nucleotides) under Hevea brasiliensis (rubber tree). The record is from RNAcentral. Lineage: Eukaryota; Viridiplantae; Streptophyta; Magnoliopsida; Malpighiales; Euphorbiaceae.